CAACAAUAAUUCAGAAAAUAACAUCAACUAAAAGAAAUUGGAAACAGAAUUUCAGCUCCUUUGUUCUUCUUCUGUUCGACCACCAAACAACCACCGCCACAGUAACCACCGCCCCACUUUCCGACCACGCUUAGUGAACCCACACCCAGUCGCGCCACCAGCACCCACCAUCUCCCCUCCUCUCUCGCGCACCCUUUCGUUUCUUUCGAACCCCCCUACACACCCAUUCACUUUCCUCCUCUACGCGACACCACCGCACCACCACACAUCAACCACUCGCCUUAUGUCGCCCUUCGCCAUCGUGCACUGCCUUCCCUCGCCGGACCUCCUGCCGCGACGCCAAAGCCCCCGUUUCUCCCCUGCGUGUGUGUUGUUCUUGGAAGAACUCAUUCCUCGGAGCUCAGUAAGGACGAUAUCAAGGACAUAAGAAGAGGAUUGUUAUUAUUCUGCAAUCAAGGUACUGCUGGGGACGAUGGUACUGCGUAGUGGCAAGGAUUACCACCUUAUUAAAUCAUCUAGUAAUAUUGCUACUAACUUGUAAGGUUAACUUAAUUAGAAUGUAAGACCAUAUAUACUUUAAUAUAAGUUAUCGUUGCUAUAUCAA
Molecule: long non-coding RNA, 604 nt
Organism: Beta vulgaris subsp. vulgaris (sugar beet)
Lineage: Eukaryota; Viridiplantae; Streptophyta; Magnoliopsida; Caryophyllales; Amaranthaceae
Exons: 3
Source: RefSeq, a predicted model, not a curated record